UUUCUUCAACAAAAAAAAAGUUUAUAAACAAUUGUGUCCCAUGACAUCUCACGUAAAAUAUUUGUAAUACAUCGUUAGCAUGGAGAGAUUUGAUAAUAUUUUACCAAAUAUUUGAUUGAACUUUCAAAUUGUUUGUGGAGAUUCAGCAUAUGUUCAAGAGCAGUUGAGUGCAUUCAAGCGAGAAUAUUUAAAAGUAAAUUUUGCCGGGGCUGAAUUAUUCAGGCAUAUGGAGAAAUGAACACUAGCUUUCCAUCAACUGCAGUGGAUACCAUGUGUAAAUUAGCAAGGAUUUAUUACUAGUGCAGUGUCUUAUUUAAUAACAUUGUAUUUAUAAUAAAAUUUUAAGAUGCCUAUUUGAAUAAAAAUGUUUAUCAAAAUA
Long non-coding RNA from Bacillus rossius redtenbacheri, 379 nucleotides. RefSeq lists it as uncharacterized. Lineage: Eukaryota; Metazoa; Arthropoda; Insecta; Phasmatodea; Bacillidae. The record is from RefSeq and is a predicted model, not a curated record. The transcript is spliced from 3 exons.